AUUGAACGCUGGCGGCAUGCUUUACACAUGCAAGUCGAACGGUAACAGGCCGCAAGGUGCUGACAAGUGGCGAACGGGUGAGUAAUGCAUCGGAACGUGCCCAGUCGUGGGGGAUAACUACUCGAAAGAGUAGCUAAUACCGCAUACGAUCUAUGGAUGAAAGCGGGGGACCGUAAGGCCUCGCGCGAUUGGAGCGGCCGAUGUCAGAUUAGGUAGUUGGUGGGGUAAAGGCUCACCAAGCCAACGAUCUGUAGCUGGUCUGAGAGGACGACCAGCCACACUGGGACUGAGACACGGCCCAGACUCCUACGGGAGGCAGCAGUGGGGAAUUUUGGACAAUGGGCGCAAGCCUGAUCCAGCAAUGCCGCGUGCAGGAAGAAGGCCUUCGGGUUGUAAACUGCUUUUGUACGGAACGAAACGGCUCUGGCUAAUACCCGGGGCUAAUGACGGUACCGUAAGAAUAAGCACCGGCUAACUACGUG
This 482-nucleotide ribosomal RNA is filed under the name uncultured bacterium. Its description in RNAcentral is "partial 16S ribosomal RNA". It matches the Rfam family "Bacterial small subunit ribosomal RNA", at positions 30 to 507 of the family's 1533-position model. The record is from RNAcentral.